Molecule: ribosomal RNA, 253 nt
Filed under: uncultured bacterium
Lineage: Bacteria
Description: partial 16S ribosomal RNA
Rfam family: Bacterial small subunit ribosomal RNA
Source: RNAcentral
UACGAGAGGUGCAAACGUUAUUCGGAUUUACUGGGCGUAAAGGGUGCGUAGACGGUAUGAUAAGUCAACUGUUUAAUCUUCUGGCCUAACCAGAAGCUUGCGGUAGAAACUGUUAUACUAGAGGAUGGAAGAGAGAAGUGGAAUUCUCGGAGUAGCGGUAAAAUGCGUAGAUCUCGAGAGGAACACCGAUGGCGAAAGCAGCUUCUUGGUCCAUUCCUGACGUUGAGGCACGAAAGCGUGGGGAGCAAACAGG